RNAcentral lists this small nuclear RNA (132 nucleotides) under Rhodnius prolixus. Its description in RNAcentral is "U4 spliceosomal RNA". It matches the Rfam family "U4 spliceosomal RNA". From Rfam's summary of the family: U4 small nuclear RNA (U4 snRNA) is a component of the major U2-dependent spliceosome. The structure of U4 snRNA from yeast and human has been reported. Lineage: Eukaryota; Metazoa; Arthropoda; Insecta; Hemiptera; Reduviidae. The record is from Rfam by way of RNAcentral.
CAUCUUGCGCAGUGGCAAUAUCGUAACCAAUGAAGGUCUCCUGAGGUGCGAUUAUUGCUAGUUGAAAACCUUUUUUUGUAAUUUAAUGUGUGUGUUUAAAAAAAAAACUCAGUUUUCAGUCAGUCUGUAACU